ACCAAUAUCUGUAUUGUUCGGUGUUAAUUAUUGGCUUACGACACAUACCACUAAAUCAGCCAUAAGAUAGAGAACUUAUUUAUGAUACACACAUAUCUGUUCCUGUAACUAAAAUAGAUAGAAUGUCUCUAUUCUUGGACUUUGAGUGGUUCUCUUUGGGUUUAUGAUGUAAUUAGUAUCAAUAUCUGUAUUGAUACUACACGUACCACUAUGAUUUAUGAUUAACCAAUAUCUGUAUUGUUUGGUGUUAAUUAUUGGCUUAGACUUGUACCACUAAAUCAGCCAUAAGAUAGAGAACUUAUUUAUGAUACACACAUAUCUGUUCCUGUAACUAAAAUAGAUAGAAUGUCUCUAUUCUUGGACUUUUUGAGUGGUUCUCUUUGGGUUUAUGAUGUAAUUAGUAUCAACUAUCUGGAUUCUAUAAUUCUCCAGCUUGUUACCUCUAAAUAGGGAAAAGUCUGCUUUUUCUUCUUUGUAUGUCCUUUCCAGUUUAUCAGAUUAUGCAUAGAUGUAUAAGAAAUGUAAUUUUACUGAUUAAACAUGAUGAUUUGCUUCACCUUUGUAAAUCGAAUAAACAAAUGAUGAGUCAAACCUGCAAAAGGUGCUUGGAACCCAUCUAGAGGAUACUUAUCGCAAAUUUAUGGAUGAAUUAUUGGAUUGAACAGAAUAGAACAUGUGCAACAGUGCAAGUACAUUCUAGAUUCUCAACCUUAUUGCUAAGUCUAUUGUACAUGAUUGACCAUAGUGAAAACAAAUGCUGCUCCUCGGAUUCUUGGUCAGUCUUUAUUUAUUUGAUCUUUUAGAUUUAGUAUCUCACCGGAUACCCUCCAGCACAAGCAUGCUAUUUUUAUUCUUUU
RNAcentral lists this long non-coding RNA (857 nucleotides) under Musa acuminata (dwarf banana). Its description in RNAcentral is "long non-coding RNA (MACU_LNC005890)". Lineage: Eukaryota; Viridiplantae; Streptophyta; Magnoliopsida; Zingiberales; Musaceae. The record is from RNAcentral.